GAUACUCCACCACUACUACGCCCUGAAGUAGUUUAAAACAAACAACUAAAAGCAGAUCGUAGAAAUGAUACAGUGCCUUCAGAAAGUGUUCACGCCCCUCAACUUCUUCCACAUUUUGUUGUUACAGCCUGAAUUAAAACACACACAAUAACCCAUAAUGACAAAGUGAAAACAUGUGUUGACAUUUUUGCAAAUGUAUUGAAAAUGAACUCUUAGAAAUAUCACAUUUGUAUAAGUAUUCAAACCCCUGAGUCAAUACUUUGUAGAAUCACCUUUGGCAGUGAUUACAGCUGUGAGUCUUUCUGGGUAAGUCUCUAAGAGCUUUGCACACCUGGAUUGUACAGUAUUUGCACAUUAUUCUUUAAAAAAAUAUAUUUAAAAAAAUGUAACUGUCAAAUUGACUGACCAUUGAUAGACAGCCAUUUUCAUGUCUUGCCAUAGAUUUUCAAGACGAUUUAAGUUAAGUUAAAACUAUGCCACUCAGGAACAAUCAAUGUCUUCUUGGUAAGCAACCCCAGUAUAUAUUUGGACUUGUGUUUUAGGUUAUUGUCCUGCUGAAAGGUGAAUUUGUCUCCCAGUGUCUGUUGGAAAGUAGACUGAACCAGGUUUUAGGAUUUUGAUGUGCUUAUAGCUGUUUUCUGUUUCUUUUUAUCCUUAAAAAAAAUUCCCUUGUCAUUGUCGCUGACAAGCACACCCAUAACAUGAUGCAGCAACCACCAUGCUUGAAAAUGUGAAGAGUGGUACUCCGUGAUGUGUUGGAUUUGCCCUAAACUUAACACUUUGUAUUCAGGAAAGAAAGUUAGAUUUUUGGCAAAAAAGUAUUACUUAAGUGCCUUGUUGCAAACAGGAUGCAUGUUUUGUAAUACAGGCUUCCUUUUCACUCUGUCAUUUAAGUUAGUAUUGUGGAGUAACUACAAUGUUGUUGAUCCAUCCUUAGUUCUCAUAUCACACCCAUUAUACUCUGUAACUAUUUUAAAGUCGCCAUUGGCAUCAUGAUGAAAUCCGGCAACUGAGCUAGGAAAGAUGCCUGAAUCUUUGUAGUGACUGGGUGUAUUGAUUCACCAUGCAAAGUGUAAUUAAUAACUUCACCAUGCUCAAAGGGAUAUUCAAUUUCAUUGAAAAACCUUCCCUGGUCUUUGUGGUUGAAUCUGUGCUUGAAAUGUAUUACUCGAUUGAGGGAGUGGGGUACAGAGAUGGGGUAGUCAUUCAGAGAUGGGGUAGUCAUUCAGAGAUGGGGUUGGUAAUUCAGAGAUGGGGUAGUCAUUCAGAGAUGGGGUAGUCAUUCAGAGAUGGGGUAGUCAUUCAGAGAUGGGGUAGUCAUUCAGAGAUGGGGUAGUCAUUCAGAGAUGGGGUAGUCAUUCAGAGAUGGGGUAGUCAUUCAGAGAUGGGGUUGGUCAUUCAGAGAUGGGGUAGUCAUUCAGAGAUGGGGUAGUCAUUCAGAGAUGGGGUAGUCAUUCAGAGAUGGGGUAGUCAUUCAGAGAUGGGGUUGUCAUUCAGAGAUGGGGUAGUCAUUCAGAGAUGGGGUAGUCAUUCAGAGAUGGGGUUGUCAUUCAGAGAUGGGGUAGUCAUUCAGAGAUGGGGUAGUCAUUCAGAGAUGGGGUAGUCAUUCAGAGAUGGGGUAGUCAUUCAGAGAUGGGGUAGUCAUUCAGAGAUGGGGUAGUCAUUCAGAGAUGGGGUAGUCAUUCAGAGAUGGGGUAGUCUAAUACAGUAUGUAGUUUACACAGGUAUGAUAGUCUAAUAGAGUAUGUACACAGGUAUGAUAGUCUAAUACAGUAUGUACACAGGUAUGAUAGUCUAAUACAGUAUGUACACAGGUAUGAUAGUCUAAUACAGUAUGUAGUUUACACAGGUAUGAUAGUCUAAUACAGUAUGUACACAGGUAUGAUAGUCUAAUAGAGUAUGUACACAGGUAUGAUAGUCUAAUAGAGUAUGUAGUUUACACAGGUAUGAUAGUCUAAUACAGUAUGUAGUUUACACAGGUAUGAUAGUCUAAUACAGUAUGUACACAGGUAUGAUAGUCUAAUAGAGUAUGUAGUUUACACAGGUAUGAUAGUCUAAUAGAGUAUGUACACAGGUAUGAUAGUCUAAUACAGUAUGUACACAGGUAUGAUAGUCUAAUACAGUAUGUACACAGGUAUGAUAGUCUAAUAGAGUAUGUAGUUUACACAGGUAUGAUAGUCUAAUACAGUAUGUACACAGGUAUGAUAGUCUAAUAGAGUAUGUACACAGGUAUGAUAGUCUAAUACAGUAGUGUAGUUUACACAGGUAUGAUAGUCUAAUAGAGUAUGUACACAGGUAUGAUAGUCUAAUAGAGUAUGUACACAGGUAUGAUAGUCUAAUAGAGUAUGUAGUUUACACAGGUAUGAUAGUCUAAUACAGUAUGUAGUUUACACAGGUAUGAUAGUCUAAUAGAGUAUGUACACAGGUAUGUUAGUCUAAUACAGUAUGUACACAGGUAUGAUAGUCUAAUAGAGUAUGUACACAGGUAUGAUAGUCUAAUACAGUAUGUACACAGGUAUGAUAGUCUAAUAGAGUAUGUACACAGGUAUGAUAGUCUAAUACAGUAUGUAGUUUACACAGGUAUGAUAGUCUAAUACAGUAUGUAGUUUACACAGGUAUGAUAGUCUAAUAGAGUAUGUACACAGGUAUGUUAGUCUAAUACAGUAUGUACACAGGUAUGAUAGUCUAAUAGAGUAUGUACACAGGUAUGAUAGUCUAAUAGAGUAUGUACACAGGUAUGAUAGUCUAAUACAGUAUGUAGUUUACACAGGUAUGAUAGUCUAAUACAGUAUGUAGUUUACACAGGUAUGAUAGUCUAAUACAGUAUGUAGUUUACACAGGUAUGAUAGUCUAAUAGAGUAUGUACACAGGUAUGAUAGUCUAAUAGAGUAGUGUAGUUUACACAGGUAUGAUAGUCUAAUAGAGUAUGUACACAGGUAUGAUAGUCUAAUACAGUAUGUAGUUUACACAGGUAUGAUAGUCUAAUAGAGUAUGUAGUUUACACAGGUAUGAGUGUAUAAUACCAGCGGUGUAAAGUACUUACUGUAAGUAAAAGUACUUUAAAGUACUACUUAAGUCUGGUUUUUGUAUCUGUACUUUACUAUUUUUUGACAACUUUUACUUCACCACAUUCCUAAAGAAAAUAAUGUUGUUUUUACUCCAUACAUUUUCCCUGACACCUAAAAGUACUCGUUACAUGUUGAAUGCUUAGCAGGACAGGACAAGGGUCCAAUUCACACAUUUAUCAAGAGAACAUCCCUGGUCCUCCCUACUGCCUCUGAUCUGGUGGACUCUCUAAACAGAGAACAUCCCUGGUCCUCCCUACUGCCUCUGAUCUGGUGGACUCUCUAAACAGAGAACAUCCCUGGUCAUCCCUACUGCCUCUGAUCUGGCAGACUCACUAAACAGAGAACAUCCCUGGUCAUCCCUACUGC
Molecule: long non-coding RNA, 3434 nt
Organism: Oncorhynchus nerka (sockeye salmon)
Lineage: Eukaryota; Metazoa; Chordata; Actinopteri; Salmoniformes; Salmonidae
Exons: 3
Source: RefSeq, a predicted model, not a curated record